This is a long non-coding RNA of Gopherus agassizii (Agassiz's desert tortoise), 1632 nucleotides long. The record is from Ensembl. NCBI's taxonomy places the organism in Eukaryota, Metazoa, Chordata, Testudines, Testudinidae.
CAGGUAUGUCCUUAGCAGAAGCAGAGAGACUAGCAAAGCCUAUCAUGGCAGCCCUUAUCUCCACACUGCAAUUGCUCUUCCUCGGGGCUCUGAUUUCUCCCGUCUAUUUGGAGGAUGCUUGUCACCCUAUCCAGAAUGCCACUGCUUCUGGCUCUUACAGUCUAUCUGUGAACCCUGCUAACUACAUGGCAAACACAAGCUACAAUGUAACCAUCAGUGGACUCGUGGAUGGCAGCUCACUUCUCCUGCAGGCCCUCAAUUCCCAGAACUCCUCUGUAGGCCGGUGGGAAGGACAAGUUGUGAACUGCAGCGACGGCCUAUCAGCAGCGCAGGAAAAUAUCACCAACAAAGCCACAGCCACAGUACAAUGGAGCUCUCCAGACAAUGAGUCAGCCCCGGUGGAAAUAAGGGUAUUUGUGACUCUUUCCAAUAGCUCUACCCUGCUCCAGAAGACAACUCUAGAUACAGCAUCUACAGCCUCACCUGGAUCGACAACAGAGACACCCACCACCAGCUCCAAAAUCACAUCCUCCAGCACCACCAAUUCCGUCUCCACAGUGCAGGCCAGCUCCUUCUUCCUGGCAGCCGUCCACCUGCUGUCAGUCUUUGUUACCUGCAAACUGUUCUCCUAGUGGAAAACAGCACCCCAGUCAAGCCAUGCUCUGCCAUCUUUGCUUUCCUGCUGGAUGCAAGGGUGGACGGCUGAUAUACUCAGGAAGUCUCUCUUCUACUGUUAUGUAUUUAAAAAUGAUGACUGCACUUUCUUUUACACCCUACUUGACCAGAGAGCUGACACCCAACCCUAUUGCCAGCAGCAGGAAACACAUGAAGAAAUUCCGGCACAUACUUGUCUCGAGAGUUUUCAUGAGCUGAAAUGUUCUGUAGCAAGUCAGGAUUUGAUACAUUCAUAGCGUGUAGAAUAGCGUCGGGUAGAGUAGUCCGACAAGGUGACUGAACAAGGGAACACUGGGGGUUCCUUCCAUCCUGAUCUCCUACAGUUCUAUGAAGCAGAGACAGCAUGUCUCCCCCACCAGGCGGGCUAAGCUGCUUUCCACAUUAGGGCACUGCAGGUUGAUAACGGGCAUGGGUGAGGGUCUUCCACAGCUGCUGCUGCAUCCCAUUUGCUGUGCACACAGGGAAUGGAGCCAGUGUCUUUUCUGAGCUCAUCGACAGUCGCUUACAGGGCCCUGACUGAGAUGGGGCAUUGUAAUCAGUCGGACUUGCAGAGAAUUGCGAAGGGCAGGGCAGAUUUAAACACAGUUCAGACUGAUUACAGCCUGAAUGAGAUCCAAAUUUAAAUGAUCAUGAAAGAAGUAAAUACACUGUUUUUCAGGCUAGCCUGCCAUAUGAAGGCAAGUCCCUUCCAUAAAUCAAAGUAGAACCCCUGCUGGCAGGGCCUUCUCCAUGAAGGCCCCCUGACUGGAAUUCGUUGCCAGUUUCAAUUCUGUUGUACUUCAGGGCACCCUGCAAUACCCCCCUUGAUUUCUCUCUGGUGUUUUGGGGCAGGACCCUGAGAUGAAGGAAGGGUUAGGUCUCUGAAAUGAAUAGGAUUUUUUUUUCAUAGACAGCAGAUGAUUUUCACUGCCAUGUUGGCUGGAAUGUGCCAUUGAAUAUAUGUUGAUAAAUUUUCUU